GCGGUUCUAGUGUAGUGGUCAUCACGUCUCGUUGUGGCGAAGCAGCUUCCGAGGAGGUCCUCAGUUCGACUCUGGGGAACCGCA
Molecule: non-coding RNA, 84 nt
Organism: Salinomyces thailandicus
Lineage: Eukaryota; Fungi; Ascomycota; Dothideomycetes; Mycosphaerellales; Teratosphaeriaceae
Source: the annotation of a GenBank genome assembly